ACCCAAAGUCACUUUAGCCAACCUGCAAAGGAGGCGAGUGCCUAAGGUAUGGGGAGUGAUUGGGGUGAAGUCGUAACAAGGUAGCWGUAGGUGAACCUGCAGAAGGWUCA
Molecule: ribosomal RNA, 110 nt
Filed under: uncultured eukaryote
Lineage: Eukaryota
Description: partial small subunit ribosomal RNA
Source: RNAcentral